This 1180-nucleotide unclassified non-coding RNA is filed under the name Hevea brasiliensis (rubber tree). Lineage: Eukaryota; Viridiplantae; Streptophyta; Magnoliopsida; Malpighiales; Euphorbiaceae. The record is from RNAcentral.
GGGAAAGAGAGGCAAAGACGUGGAAACUGGAUUAUCUUGCAUCUCCUUCAGAUAUGGCUUUAGCCGAUAGUGACAACAGAAAUUAUAUUAUCCUCUAAUUUUUUUUUUAAAUUUUUUAUACUGUUUACAAGUCCUCUCUGUGUUUGUCUCUUCGUACUUGCUUCUAGUGUUACCAUUCUGAGCUUCCAUGGCAUUGUCUUUGUCUACACAUCGCCACAACAUCUUUGUUCUUUCCACGAGCAAAACCAUAGCCAUUGGCCAUGGAAGAACCAAAUCAAGAAGAGCAGAUUCGAUGGUUGUUAAGUUGGCUGUGGCCUACGAAGAGGGACGGUUAAAAAGGCCCAAGUGGGGAGGAGAGACCCCUCUCUCUCGUCUUGUUGGAGCUCUCAUUUCCUUCAAGCCAUUAUCUGCACUGCUCAAGCUUGGUGCCAGACAAGUUCUUAUCAGCACAGCUGAGAAGAACAACAUUCCAUGGAGAGAAAUGAGGAGAGAGAUUCUGGAAUCAGAUGUGUAUAAGGAGAUAGAGAGCAUUCAAAACCCCUCAAUUAUAUACCCUGAUUGUGACCAUCUGAACUUAUGGCAUUCCAAAUUUAAUGCUUUUCUUGCUUGUAUAUGGUUUCUUGGUUGUAGACUUUUAAUACAUGAUGUACACAUUUUUUCUUCGAUUGUGAAUUUUUCAGAUUAUCUCAAUCCUUUCCAUGCAUAUGAUGAGGGAAAUCUUUCAUGGCUCGCUGCAGCAGAAGCAGAACCUGCAACCAUGUCAAUUGCGAGAAGAGCAAUGCCUAAUGCUUCCUCACCAGAAGAAGCAAAUCAAGUAAUGCGUGGAAAUUGGCUUCAAGCAAUUCAACAACAUCAUCUACAGCAUUCUGGAAAUUCCAUGAUAAGUGACAUUCUAGAUAUUGGAUGCUCUGUAGGUGUCACCACAAGAUUUCUUGCUGACAACUUUCCUUUGGCAAAAGUCACUGUGUGUUCAGUUUUCCUACCUUAAUGAGUUCUCUUAACAGUUGGGCAAUAUGAUAGACUUAAUCAAAAUUAAAAUGCUUCCAAAUUAUGAAUCACAAAACUCGUUUAGUUGUUAAUAUGUGGAUGUGCACCUCACAUUAUUUGUCUCAAUGAACUGCUGCAGGGCCUUGAUCUGUCUCCUUACUUUCUUUCCGUAGCUCAAUUCAAGGAAAAGAAG